UUUUUUAAUGUAUUAAUAAAAAAUAUAAAACAUAAAGUUUCGUUACUUAUAUUCAUUAAGUGUAUUUUAUAUGCAGCACAAGAUAAUAAUUCUUCAGUCAGUGCGGCCCAGGCAAGCCAGAAGAUUGGACACUUGUGCACUAACUCAAGGACAAAAGAACCAGCUUGGAAUUGGAGAAGCGCAGUUUGAACUCCACAAUCUUGGGUGAAAAAGAAAGAAAGAAGAGAAAGAAGCUUGAUUCUGAAGACUGCUGUUUUUUCUUGUAUUUUUUCAGUCAAAGAACUGAGGUAAGGAGAAAACUGAAGAGGUAUAAGCCUUUUCAGUAUUUUUUUGUGCAUAUCUCAAAUGUUUGUCUUUUUCUGUAAAAGAUUUGCUAAUGCAA
RNAcentral lists this long non-coding RNA (382 nucleotides) under Numida meleagris (helmeted guineafowl). Its description in RNAcentral is "lncRNA (ENSNMEG00000005519.1)". Lineage: Eukaryota; Metazoa; Chordata; Aves; Galliformes; Numididae. The record is from RNAcentral.